RNAcentral lists this ribosomal RNA (115 nucleotides) under Cordylochernes scorpioides. Lineage: Eukaryota; Metazoa; Arthropoda; Arachnida; Pseudoscorpiones; Chernetidae. The record is from RNAcentral.
ACGGCCAUACCACAUUGAAAACACCGGUUCUCGUCCGAUCACCGAAGUUAAGCAAUGACGGGCCCGGUCAGUACUUGGGAGGGUGACCACCUGGGAACACCGGGUGCUGUAGGCU